ACUUUUAGAUCUAUCAAGCAUGUUCUUCUCUACAGAAUCGAUAGAUUCAAUAGGCAAUUUACAAUCUUUGAAAUAUUUGGAUUUAUCAUGGACUUCUUUUCCUGGAGGGUGGCCUAAGACUAUCACGAAUUUAUCAUCUUUGGAGCAUUUGGAUGCAUCAGACUCAUCUUUCUCAGGAGCAUUGCCCAACUCAAUCGGGAAUCUAGUGUCCUUGGAGUAUUUAAAUCUUCAAUCAUCCAACUUGUCAGGAUCAAUUCCGAUAUCAUUGGGAAACCUCUCACAACUCAAUCAUUUAGAUUUGUCAUGGAACUAUUUUAGUGGACAAAUUCCAUCCUCACUUACAAACCUAAGACAACUCAAUCAUUUAGAUUUGUCAUGGAACUAUUUUAGUGAACAAAUUCCAUCCUCACUUACAAACCUAAGACAACUUGAAUUCUUUUCCCUUUUUUAUAACCAACUAGAGGGUUCCAUUCCUGAUGAGGUGAAUGCCUUUCCUAAUCUAAUCUCUCUAGACUUAUCUUCUAAUUUACUCAAUGGAACACUUCCCUCAUGGUUGUAUACAGUUUCCACAUUGAAGCACAUAUAUCUCAACGAUAACAAGCUCAGUGGUGAUAUCAAGGAAUUCCAGUGCAAAUCACUAGAACAGAUCCGUUUUGGGAAUAAUAAACUCAAAGGUCCUAUUCCAUCUUCAAUAUUCCAACUUGUGAAUCUUACUACAGUUGACUUUUCACAUCUAAGUGGGUUUGUACAGAUUAACAUGUUCUCAAAACUCCAAAAUCUCCAGUACCUUGAUCUUUCAUAUAGCAGUCUAUCCUUAAACUCUAAUGGUACUAGUGCUGAUUAUGUGUUUCCUAAUCUUCAGUAUUUGUACUUGUCUUCUUGCAAUGUCAAUGAAUUUCCCCAAUUUUUAAAAGGUUCAAAAAGUUUGCAACAUUUAGACCUUUCCAACAAUAAAAUUUAUGGCAAGAUUCCUAAGUGGAUGUGGGAUGUGGGGAAGGACUCUUUGACAUUCUUGAACUUAACUCACAACAAUUUGACGGAUUUUGAACAAAUUCCAUGGAAGGGAAUUGAAAUUCUUGACCUUAGCUCCAAUUUCAUUCAUGGAGAUCUUCCGAUUCCACCUUCAACAACAUCUGUCUUUCUUAUCUCAAAUAAUAAUUUGAGCGGUGAGCUCCCUUCUCUGCUAUGCAAUGCAAAUUCCUUUGAAUUUCUUGACUUGUCUCGCAACAACUUGAGUGGAAUUAUUCCACAAUGUUUUGGAAACUUAAGCCGAAGCCUUUCAGUGUUGAAUCUACAAAGGAACAACUUCUGUGGACUCAUUCCUUCGGUUUUUACAAAGGGAUGUCACUUGAAUUAUCUCAACUUAAAUGGCAAUCAAUUAGAAGGGCCUUUACCACAAGACAUCAUUAAUUGUGGAGGUUUGGAAGUGCUAAAUCUUGGUAACAACAAGAUCAAUGAUACAUUUCCUCAUUGGUUGGAAAGUCUUACACAACUACAAGUUCUUGUGCUGCAUUCGAAUCAAUUGCAUGGUUCCUUUCAAGAUCCGUGGUCCAAUCAUUCUUUCUCUAAAAUUCAAAUUUUUGAUCUGUCGAAUAAUUAUUUUACUGGUCCACUUCCCGUUAAAUAUAUAAAAAAUUUCAAGGCUAUGAUAAAUCUCUCAAAAGAUAAAAGUGCAAGGUCGUACAUGGGAGAGUAUGUUCCUUCUGCUUUGGCUAACUUCUAUAGCUAUUCUAUUGAAAUUGCAAUAAAAGGAGUAGAGAUUGAAUUGGAGAAAAUAUUCAUCGCGUUGACGAGCAUUGACCUCUCAAACAAUGAGUUUCAAGGUGAGAUUCCAAAGGUUAUUGGAGAGCUUGACUCACUCAAAGGGCUAAACCUUUCUCAUAAUAACCUUAGUGGUUGUAUCCCCACAUCAAUGGGGAAUUUGACAGCACUUGAGUCACUGGAUCUCUCUUCGAAUAAGCUUGUUGGGAAGAUUCCUACACAGUUGAAUAGUUUGGAUUUUCUUGAAGUGUUAAACCUUUCACAAAAUCAGCUCGUUGGACCUAUACCUCAGGGAAAACAAUUCGAUACCUUUGGCAGGGAUUCCUACGCUGGUAACUUGGGACUGUGUGGGUUUCUAUUAUCAAGGAGCUGUGACAACACUGAGGCACCCUUUUUUCAUGACAGCACUGAGGCACUCAUUUUUCAUGUGGAAGCAGAUUCUGAAUCUGGAUUUGUGUGGAAAGCGACAUUCAUGGGUUAUGGAAGUGGACUAGUGUUGGGAAUAUCUGCAGCAUAUAUCAUGUUCACACUUGGAAGACCCAAAUGGCUUGUGAGGAUGGUUGAAGAAGUAGGCUACAAAUUGAAGAGAUACCUCAGAGGACGAAGGAAUUUGUAAAUUAGUAAGAAGCCCUCAUCUGUCACUGGUGGAUAGAAUGGCUUGUGUUCCUUUUAUGUUCAAUAUGAUUUUCGUUUCUUGACUGUGUUUUGUUUUGUCUUGCGCCCUGACUUUUCUUCCAGGGGUUGUAUCAUGUUUUCAAGUUGUUUGUUACAGGGGAUGCCCUGUUUUUGAUCUGGUAUGUUGCUUGGCUGUUGCUUAUAGCCAUCCAAAUGCUUGUUCUCUUUUGUUUUAUUCACCAAUGAUUAUUCCUGGUUGAUAAUGAAUUCUAUUGAAGCAGACUUUGUUUUUUUUUUCUUCCUAGAAUAAAUUUUCUUUCAUACUAAUGAAAUUGUAAGACUGUUAUGGAUGCUAUAUGGAAUUUAAAGAUGAAUUUUCUAUCCCUUUUACAAAUGUUGACAUGAAAUUUUAGUUGAAUUCACCAUGCUUAAAUAACUUUUUUUUUUUUUUUUAACGUUUGAAGGCAGCACUCAGGGAGGAUAACAUUGACACUCGGCUACCUUCUCAAUCAAGUCAAGCAAGCAAAAAGAAAUCUGUGUUACUAGCUAAAGGCAUCUGGGCUGGCAAUUCGUUCAUCACAAACAAAUUUUUCUUUACUUUGCUGAAUCAAAGAUUUUGCUUGUAUAUAUAUGUAUAUAUAUAUAACUGAGCUUUACAUAUAUGUAUAUAUAUAUGUAUAUAUGUAUAUUGAAGAACUGAGCUUUGCUUUUUAAGCUUCAGGUGCUUAAACUAUCCAGUUGCCAACUUGGCUUAACCUUGAACAUGCCUUGGACCAUGUUGAGAACAACAGUAUACGUAGUUACAAAAUCUAGUUACCAUGCCUUCACACUUACAACUUUGACUGGUCAUUACCAAUGGAGCCAAAACUUUCCUAUAAUUUCAGUUGUUCAUAAUAAAAGUCUUGUUCUUUUCAAUUUCAAUUCAUAAUUCAACCUUGUGCUAGUAUUCAGUUGGACUGGAGUUGUUCUAAUGCCCAAUUCAGGUCAUAUUUUCUACCUACUUUAGUUUAAGGAGAGAACUGUAAUUCUAAAGUCUAUGGGGGCAGAUUUUGUCAUUUCUGCUCCUCUUACUUCCCACUUGCAGCAAGCAAAUCUUUCCUUCACCAACCAGACUUCUCCCAAAAACCCCCCGGCUUGGAGUAAUGAAGAGACCGAAGAGACCACCCUUCCAUGGGAAUUCUCUUCAUCCCAAUAAAACCUGAAACUCCCUUCUUUUUCUCUUUCUCCUCUUUCAUAUUUUGUUUAAGCAAGUUUCAAUCUUUUUUCUUUCCUUUUUUCUUUUGUAGAUUAUUGAAUUAUUCUUGUUGAUGAGAAUGGCGCUUGAAUCCUCAAUUCUCAGCCAACCCACUUUCUGUUCUUCAAGAAGGUCCUCGCCUUUCAUGCUUUUUAAUCGAAAUUUGAAGUACCCAUAAAAGUUUUUAUCCAAAACUAAUCACUACCCAGCUCCUAUUAUCUCCAGCUUUUCCAAUCCCGAGGUUUUCAAAGCCUUUGGAUUGCGAAAAACUGGAAUUUUUGGAAGUCAGGCACGUCUGGGAUUGUUAAGUGAAGACAAUGAAGAUGUGGGAAAUAAUCAGAAUCUGAUUUUGGUGAAAAGGGGAAUUUUGGUGGCAAUGGUUUGCAGUGUAUUGGUCUUUGGUUGUAAAAGAGUGUUUGCUGUUGAGGGAGUGGUUAAUGCUGGCUAUGGGGUGAUUGAGCAUUGCAUAUUGUUGUUGAGGAACGCUUGGCCUAAGUUAUCUAUGCUUCUUAAAGCUAAUCUUUCAUCUUCUUCUUCUUCAAUUACACAGUUGUGCUCUCCUGAAGAAGCUGCUGCAUUGAUCCAAUUCAAGAUCUCUUUUUCAAUCAGUGAAUAUUCAUAUUGGGAAUGCGGUGAAUCUUUUCCUAUGACAAAUUCAUGGAAGGAGGGUUCAGAUUGCUGCUCAUGGGAUGGGGUCACUUGUGAUAACAUCAAAGGUCAAGUUAUUGGCCUUGACUUGAGUUGCAGUCAGCUAAAUGGCAGCAUCCCUUUCAAUAACAGUCUCUUCCAUCUUCCACACCUACAGAAACCCAACCUAGCCUUCAACUACUUUAACUCUGCCAAGAUGUCAUCUAAGUUUGGUGGGUUUGCAAGUCUAAUGUAUCUCAAUCUCUCUUAUUCAAACUUUGAAGGACAAGUCCCAUCCCAAGUCUCCCACUUGUAGAAAUUGGUUUCACUUGAUCUCUCUGGGAAUUAUUAUUAACCACAUGACAGACAUACUGUGGAAGGACUUGUUCAGAACCUAACAGAGGUGAGACACCUUUUUCUUGACAGUAUCGAUAUGCCUUGAUGAAUCUACCCUCAUCUUUAAGGACUCUUAAUCUCAAGUACUGUGAUUUGCGAGGAAAAUUCCCAAAAAACAUUUUUCACCUGCCUAACCUCAAGUCCCUCUAUUUAGGAUACAACGAAAACCUUGCUCUCUAUUUAGAUCUAUCAGGAAUGUCCUUCUCAACAAAAUCGAUAGAUUCGACGAUCGGCAAUUUACAAUCUUUGAAAUAUUUGGAUUUAUCAUGGACUUCUUUUCUUGGAGGGUUGCCUGAGUCUAUCACGAAUUUAUCAUCUUUGGAGCAUUUGGAUGCAUCAGACUCAUCUUUCUCAGGAGGACUGCCCAACUCAAUCGGGAAUCUAGUGUCCUUGGAGUAUUUAAGUCUUUCAUCACCCAAUUUAUCAGGAUCAAUUUUGAUAUCAUUGGGAAACCUCUCACAACUCAAUUAUUUAGAUUUGUCAUGGAACUAUUUUAGU
RNAcentral lists this long non-coding RNA (5131 nucleotides) under Theobroma cacao (cacao). Its description in RNAcentral is "long non-coding RNA (TCAC_LNC004155)". The record is from RNAcentral. Lineage: Eukaryota; Viridiplantae; Streptophyta; Magnoliopsida; Malvales; Malvaceae.